Molecule: long non-coding RNA, 410 nt
Organism: Ornithodoros turicata
Lineage: Eukaryota; Metazoa; Arthropoda; Arachnida; Ixodida; Argasidae
Exons: 3
Source: RefSeq, a predicted model, not a curated record
UUUUCGAGAAUUCACACAUCGUCCUGCAGAGACGAAGAAGAGCCUCUCGAACAGCCUACAGCAUGAACGCUGCGUUUUUGGUGCUCCUUGUGGUCGCUCUGGCCGUUGCCGUGGUCACUGCGGCUCCUCAGUACCUUGUGAGCGGGUACUACGGCUACCCGUACGCUCCGAGCUUGGGCUACUACUACCAUUCCUACUAUCCAUACUACCACUAUCUCGGACGUUGAGUCACACAGACACUGCCGGACGCCGCUGAACUUGACAAUGCGACCUGGAAACGGAGCACACCCAAUUACAGAAAUGGAGGACCAUCUAGGUCUGACGCAAUGAUGUAAAACCGAAGGAUGUUAAGAUGCAGAGAUGCGUUCACAGUAUCAAAUAAAAUUCAACGAAUGGAAUGUGCUUCCAAA